CCUACGGGUGGCUGCAGUGAGGAAUAUUGGUCAAUGGACGCAAGUCUGAACCAGCCAUCCCGCGUGCAGGAAGAAGGCGCUAUGCGUUGUAAACUGCUUUUCCAGGGGAAGAAAACCUGCUACGUGUAGUGGCUUGCCGGUACCCUGGGAAUAAGCAUCGGCUAACUCCGUGCCAGCAGCCGCGGUAAUACGGAGGAUGCGGGCGUUAUCCGGAUUUAUUGGGUUUAAAGCGGACCGAGACGGCAGGGUUGAAAACCUGCAGCUUAACUGUAGAACUGCCAUUGAUACUGUCGGACUUGAGUGUGGUCAAGGUAGGCGGAAUGUGUAAUGUAGCGGUGAAAUGCUUAGAUAUUACACAGAACACCGAUUGCGAAGGCAGCUUGCUGGACCAUUACUGACGCUGAUGCACGAAAGCGUGGGGAGCAAACAGGAUUAGAUACCCCAGUAGUC
This 450-nucleotide ribosomal RNA is filed under the name uncultured bacterium. RNAcentral describes it as "partial 16S ribosomal RNA". It matches the Rfam family "Bacterial small subunit ribosomal RNA", at positions 338 to 795 of the family's 1533-position model. The record is from RNAcentral.